CGUGAUCUGCUGCUAGAUCGAGU
Molecule: small nuclear RNA, 23 nt
Filed under: Arabidopsis thaliana (thale cress)
Lineage: Eukaryota; Viridiplantae; Streptophyta; Magnoliopsida; Brassicales; Brassicaceae
Description: snRNA_17242
Source: RNAcentral